ACACUCACCUCAGCAGCACGUAUACUAGAAUUGGAAUGGUACAGAGAAGAUUAGCAUGACCUCUGCACAGGGAUGACACAUGAAGCAUUUCAUAUUAGAAAAAUAAUA
Erinaceus europaeus (western European hedgehog) is the source of this 108-nucleotide non-coding RNA. NCBI's taxonomy places the organism in Eukaryota, Metazoa, Chordata, Mammalia, Eulipotyphla, Erinaceidae. The record is from Rfam.